Molecule: ribosomal RNA, 1422 nt
Filed under: Escherichia coli
Lineage: Bacteria; Pseudomonadati; Pseudomonadota; Gammaproteobacteria; Enterobacterales; Enterobacteriaceae
Description: bacterial LSU rRNA
Rfam family: Bacterial large subunit ribosomal RNA
Source: RNAcentral
CAACGUUAAUCGGGGCAGGGUGAGUCGACCCCUAAGGCGAGGCCGAAAGGCGUAGUCGAUGGGAAACAGGUUAAUAUUCCUGUACUUGGUGUUACUGCGAAGGGGGGACGGAGAAGGCUAUGUUGGCCGGGCGACGGUUGUCCCGGUUUAAGCGUGUAGGCUGGUUUUCCAGGCAAAUCCGGAAAAUCAAGGCUGAGGCGUGAUGACGAGGCACUACGGUGCUGAAGCAACAAAUGCCCUGCUUCCAGGAAAAGCCUCUAAGCAUCAGGUAACAUCAAAUCGUACCCCAAACCGACACAGGUGGUCAGGUAGAGAAUACCAAGGCGCUUGAGAGAACUCGGGUGAAGGAACUAGGCAAAAUGGUGCCGUAACUUCGGGAGAAGGCACGCUGAUAUGUAGGUGAAGUCCCUCGCGGAUGGAGCUGAAAUCAGUCGAAGAUACCAGCUGGCUGCAACUGUUUAUUAAAAACACAGCACUGUGCAAACACGAAAGUGGACGUAUACGGUGUGACGCCUGCCCGGUGCCGGAAGGUUAAUUGAUGGGGUCAGCGCAAGCGAAGCUCUUGAUCGAAGCCCCGGUAAACGGCGGCCGUAACUAUAACGGUCCUAAGGUAGCGAAAUUCCUUGUCGGGUAAGUUCCGACCUGCACGAAUGGCGUAAUGAUGGCCAGGCUGUCUCCACCCGAGACUCAGUGAAAUUGAACUCGCUGUGAAGAUGCAGUGUACCCGCGGCAAGACGGAAAGACCCCGUGAACCUUUACUAUAGCUUGACACUGAACAUUGAGCCUUGAUGUGUAGGAUAGGUGGGAGGCUUUGAAGUGUGGACGCCAGUCUGCAUGGAGCCGACCUUGAAAUACCACCCUUUAAUGUUUGAUGUUCUAACGUGGACCCGUGAUCCGGGUUGCGGACAGUGUCUGGUGGGUAGUUUGACUGGGGCGGUCUCCUCCUAAAGAGUAACGGAGGAGCACGAAGGUUGGCUAAUCCUGGUCGGACAUCAGGAGGUUAGUGCAAUGGCAUAAGCCAGCUUGACUGCGAGCGUGACGGCGCGAGCAGGUGCGAAAGCAGGUCAUAGUGAUCCGGUGGUUCUGAAUGGAAGGGCCAUCGCUCAACGGAUAAAAGGUACUCCGGGGAUAACAGGCUGAUACCGCCCAAGAGUUCAUAUCGACGGCGGUGUUUGGCACCUCGAUGUCGGCUCAUCACAUCCUGGGGCUGAAGUAGGUCCCAAGGGUAUGGCUGUUCGCCAUUUAAAGUGGUACGCGAGCUGGGUUUAGAACGUCGUGAGACAGUUCGGUCCCUAUCUGCCGUGGGCGCUGGAGAACUGAGGGGGGCUGCUCCUAGUACGAGAGGACCGGAGUGGACGCAUCACUGGUGUUCGGGUUGUCAUGCCAAUGGCACUGCCCGGUAGCUAAAUGCGGAAGAGAUAA